Molecule: small RNA, 581 nt
Filed under: Pongo abelii (Sumatran orangutan)
Lineage: Eukaryota; Metazoa; Chordata; Mammalia; Primates; Hominidae
Description: retained intron
Source: RNAcentral
CACCAUGAAUCCACUCCUGAUCCUUACCUUUGUGGCUGCUGCUGUUGCUGCCCCCUUUGAUGAUGAUGACAAGAUCGUUGGGGGUUACACCUGUAGGAAGAAUUCUCUCCCCUACCAGGUGUCCCUGAAUUCUGGGUACCACUUCUGCGGUGGUUCCCUCAUCAACGAACAGUGGGUGGUGUCAGCAGGUCACUGCUACAAGUCGUAAGUGUGGGGCCCCUGACUGCAAAGCUCCCCACCAGGCUGCCUGGGAGAUCUUGGCUUCAGCCCAGGGAAAUACAGAGUUUGCGUAAGAUGGAUGGGAGAGGGGGUGGAGAAGAAAACUUGUUGGCAGCAGCUGACUCUCCAGAGCAGAGAAUGAACACAAGACAGGAACCUCUCACACCCAGGCAAAUCCAUGAAACAGCAAGGGUUGUGGUCAUACAAGCAGGCAGGGGUGGUCUUGGAGUGGUCAGAGCUAGUGAGAAAAGCAGGCAAGUACCUUUUGCUGGUUGGCUACACAUUAAAGCCACUUAAGAAAGAGUUGUUAAAAAUACUGAUGCCUGUGUCCUAUCCCAGGGCAAUUAACUCAAAAUUUUCAG